GGGGUUGUGGCUCACAGGUUGAGCACUUGCCUAGCAUGCAUGAGGCACUGGGUUCGAUCCUCAGCACCACA
This 71-nucleotide transfer RNA is filed under the name Marmota monax (woodchuck). Its description in RNAcentral is "tRNA.Ala". It matches the Rfam family "tRNA". From Rfam's summary of the family: Transfer RNA (tRNA) molecules are approximately 80 nucleotides in length. Their secondary structure includes four short double-helical elements and three loops (D, anti-codon, and T loops). Further hydrogen bonds mediate the characteristic L-shaped molecular structure. tRNAs have two regions of fundamental functional importance: the anti-codon, which is responsible for specific mRNA codon recognition, and the 3' end, to which the tRNAs corresponding amino acid is attached (by aminoacyl-tRNA synthetases). tRNAs cope with the degeneracy of the genetic code in two manners: having more than one tRNA (with a specific anti-codon) for a particular amino acid; and 'wobble' base-pairing, i.e. permitting non-standard base-pairing at the 3rd anti-codon position. Lineage: Eukaryota; Metazoa; Chordata; Mammalia; Rodentia; Sciuridae. The record is from RNAcentral.